Molecule: transfer RNA, 73 nt
Filed under: Tuwongella immobilis
Lineage: Bacteria; Pseudomonadati; Planctomycetota; Planctomycetia; Gemmatales; Gemmataceae
Description: Planctomycetes bacterium MBLW1 tRNA
Rfam family: tRNA
About the family: Transfer RNA (tRNA) molecules are approximately 80 nucleotides in length. Their secondary structure includes four short double-helical elements and three loops (D, anti-codon, and T loops).
Source: Rfam by way of RNAcentral
GCUCGCGUAGCUCAACCGGUAGAGCAACGGUUUUGUAAACCGUAGGUUGUGGGUUCAAGUCCCUCCGUGAGCU